Molecule: unclassified non-coding RNA, 253 nt
Filed under: uncultured Planctomycetota bacterium
Lineage: Bacteria; Pseudomonadati; Planctomycetota
Description: uncultured planctomycete contains 16S-23S intergenic spacer region
Rfam family: Bacterial small subunit ribosomal RNA
Source: RNAcentral
UACAGAGAUGGCAACCGUUGUUCGGAAUCACUGGGCUUAAAGCGCACGUAGGCGGACGAGUAAGUUGGAUGUGAAAGCCUCUGGCUCACCCAGAGAAAUGCAUCCAAUACUGCCUGUCUUGAGAGCGGAAGGGGAGAGUGGAACUCCUAGUGGAGCGGUGAAAUGUGUUGAUAUUAGGAGGAACGCCGGUGGCGAAAGCGACUCUCUGGUCCGAAUCUGACGCUGAGGUGCGAAAGCUAGGGGAGCAAACGGG